Molecule: non-coding RNA, 1818 nt
Organism: Elaeis guineensis (African oil palm)
Lineage: Eukaryota; Viridiplantae; Streptophyta; Magnoliopsida; Arecales; Arecaceae
Source: RefSeq, a predicted model, not a curated record
GUACUCUCCGGUCGGAAAUCCCAAAGUCUGGUCGGAAAUUCCAACGGAUGUCGAGAAUCACGAGGCCAAACGCCACAUCACCACCGUCAAAAAGUCGAGUAAUUCGAGUUCCCUCGACGUCGGCUCUACUUCGUGUGAAAAAGAGCUCUCCAGCAGAGAGCAUUUCGUAACUCUGAGUUCCUUCUCUCGCUCUCGUGGAGAUGGAGCUGGAGAUGGAGUCCAUAGCGGCGGCGAUAGGGGUGUCGGUGCCGGUGCUGCGCUUCUUGCACUGCUUCGUGGCGACGAUUCCGGUGAGCCUCGCGUGGAGGCUGGUCCCUGGAACCCUACCGAAGCAUCUUUAUGCCGCGGUCACUGGGGCGGUUCUCUCCUAUCUGUCCUUCGGUUUGUCCUCCAACCUCCACUUCCUCAUCCCCAUGGCGCUGGGUUAUGCCUCCAUGCGCCUGUUCCGUCGUCAUUGCGGCAUCAUCACCUUCUUCAUUGGGUUUGGCUACCUCAUCGGAUGCCAUGUGUACUACAUGAGUGGGGAUGCAUGGAAGGAAGGAGGCAUUGAUGCAACAGGAGCUUUGAUGGUAUUGACUCUUAAAGUCGUUUCAUGUGCAAUAAAUUACGGCGAUGGGCUACUAAAAGAAGAAGGACUGCGUGAUGCGCAGAAAAAAUAUCGAUUAAUUCAUUGCCCCUCUAUAAUUGAAUAUAUUGGUUACUGUCUUUGCUGUGGCAGUCACUUUGCGGGACCAGUAUAUGAAAUAAAGGAUUAUCUUGAAUGGACAGAAGCUAAAGGGAUUUGGGCGCAUUCGAAUGACAGAUCAUUGCCAUCACCAUAUGGUGCUACAUUGCGUGCUCUAGUUCAAGCUGCAGUAUGUAUGGGACUAUACUUGUACUUGGUACCACAAUAUCCACUUUCUCGGUUCAGUGAGCCCAUAUAUUAUGAGUGGGGUUUUUGGCAACGGCUGAGAUACCAAUACAUGUCUGGAUUGACUGCCCGUUGGAAAUACUAUUUUAUUUGGUCGAUCUCAGAGGCUUCGAUCAUCAUUUCUGGUCUUGGUUUCACUGGGUGGUCAGACUCUUCACAUUCUAAACCUCAGUGGGACCGUGCAAAAAAUGUUGAUAUUCUCGGUGGGGAGCUUGCCACUAGUGCAGUUCAGCUACCACUUGUGUGGAACAUACAAGUCAGCACCUGGCUACGUUACUAUGUAUAUGAAAGGCUCAUUCAGAAAGGGAAAAAACCUGGAUUCCUUCAGUUACUGGCUACACAGACUGUUAGCGCUGUUUGGCAUGGCUUGUAUCCUGGAUACAUGAUAUUUUUUGUUCAAUCGGCAUUGAUGAUCGCUGGUUCACGAGAUGGCAGCAAGCUAUCUCCCCCAAGAACGCUUUGCUUAGAAAGAUGAUGGCAUUUGCCAAUUUUGCAUACACGCUACUUGUUCUUAACUAUUCCUGCAUUGGCUUCUUGGUACUAAGCAUGAAAGAAACCGUUGCUGCCUACAGGAGCGUAUAUUUUGUUGGAACCAUUGUUCCUAUCGUGUUGAUCCUACUGGGUCAUAUAAUCAAACCAGCCAAACCUGUUAGGCCUAAAACUCAGAAAAGCCAGUGAGGCAAAAAUCAUAUGCCCUUCCAACUUUGCUGGAAAGAGGUGAAAGAAUAUUGCAGCCUCUAAUCAUAGGCUUUUUCUCUUUCAUAGUCUUUCAUUUUCUCUGAAUUACGAAGUGAUCUUCAUGUUGAUUUGAGUAUAGCAUGCUUCCAUGCAUCCCUGCAGUUGUUCAAGCUUAUAAACUUAGUGAAGUGAUGGAUAAACCUAUUUGGUCAUAUUUGCUGGUUCUGUGA